UACGUAGGGUGCAAGCGUUGUCCGGAAUUAUUGGGCGUAAAGAGCUCGUAGGCGGUUUGUCGCGUCGUCCGUGAAAACUCACAGCUUAACUGUGAGCUUGCGGUCGAUACGGGCAGGCUAGAGUUCGGUAGGGGAGACUGGAAUUCCUGGUGUAGCGGUGAAAUGCGCAGAUAUCAGGAGGAACACCGGUGGCGAAGGCGGGUCUCUGGGCCGAUACUGACGCUGAGGAGCGAAAGCGUGGGGAGCAAACAGG
This 253-nucleotide ribosomal RNA is filed under the name uncultured bacterium. Its description in RNAcentral is "partial 16S ribosomal RNA". It matches the Rfam family "Bacterial small subunit ribosomal RNA", at positions 524 to 776 of the family's 1533-position model. The record is from RNAcentral.